CUACGGGUGGCACCAGCUAAGAAUCUUCCGCAAUGGGCGCAAGCCUGACGGAGCGACGCCGCGUGGACGAAGAAUGCCGAGAGGUUGUAAAGUCCUUUUAUAUGCGAAGAAUAAUAACCGUAGGUAAUGACGGUUAGAUGACGUUAGCUUAUGAAUAAGCUCCGGCCAAUUACGUGCCAGCAGCCGCGGUAACACGUAAGGAGCGAGCGUUGUUCGGAAUUAUUGGGCGUAAAGGGCAUGUAGGCGGUCUUGUAAGUCUGGUGUGAAAUACCGCAGCUUAACUGCGGAGACGCACUGGAAACUGUGAGACUAGAAUCAGUGAGGGGUAACCGGAAUUCCUAGUGUAGGGGUGAAAUCUGUUGAUAUUAGGAAGAACACCGAUGGCGAAGGCAGGUUACUGGCGCAUGAUUGACGCUGAUGUGCGAAAGCGUAGGGAGCGAACAGGAUUAGAUACCCUAGUAGUC
This 464-nucleotide ribosomal RNA is filed under the name uncultured bacterium. RNAcentral describes it as "partial 16S ribosomal RNA". It matches the Rfam family "Bacterial small subunit ribosomal RNA", at positions 339 to 795 of the family's 1533-position model. The record is from RNAcentral.